UGAUGAGCAAGCUGAGACUCAUCUCAUCUUCUACAUAUUAUUUUCCUUUCUUCUGCCUUACUGUUUCUUUAACCUUGUUAUGGUUAUUAUCUUCCAUAAAUAAAUGGAAAAAUUGCUUUGCUGAUUGAUACAUUAAUUGUUUCCUUCUUCUCAUUGUUACUGAACCAAUUGUGCUUUUCAAAUUUUAGUCAGACCGAGCUUCAAUGCUGGAUGAUGCCAUCAAACAUAUUAAAGCCCUCAAGCUUCAAAUACAAAUGAUGUCCAUGGGUAGAGGAGCUCUGUACCAGGCUUCAAAUUUGUCCAUGGCUGGGAUGCAAAGCACACAAACACCCCAAUUCAUGUCAUAUGUGCCCAUGGGAACGAGCAAUGCCUAUGGAAUGGGAAUGGGAAUGGGAAUGGUUAAUAUGUGCUACUCAACAACAGGCCUUCCAAUCAUGUCUGUUCCCUCAGCCGGCUUCAAUCCAUUACAGCCAGCAACUGCAGGGUUCCCUCUAAUGUCUGCACCAGGAGUUCUUCCUGUUAAUCCCCAAUUGCAAAUGCCGAUGCCAUUCGUUGCUUCGCAAGUAAUGCCUACAGCCACUACCACAUCCAGGUCCAGAAAUAUGGGUCAGCCGCAAUUUGCUACAGAUUUCUCUCACACAUUCAACUAUGCAAAACCAAGGAGAGUCUAGUUUCCAAAACAACACAGACAACGCAGCUUCUGCUGACAACCAGAGAGUGCCAAUUAUAAGCAAGAAAUCUAAGGUGCUGGCUAGUCAUGUGGUAACACCCCCUUCAUCAGUCAGUGACAAGUAGCCGUUCACGUUCCCUAUUUUGACAGUUCAUCUGGCUGCGAUAAUUCAAGUCAGUAGAAUUGCCAUUUUUCUUUGUUGGUAACUUUACACUAGAGUUUGCAUAAUGAUGUGGAUGCUUGUGUUUGAUGUUUGCCGGAUGAAAGAAGGCAAGCACUAAACUAAGCAGCAAACGAACAAAUCUUUCUUAAGUCUCUGCAGCUUGGAAACAAUCAAUCAACAUGUCUUGUUUUCAUAUAUCUAGCUUCUCUUCAUCUUGUCUUCCUCUAGAUUAUUCUAGAAGAGAAGUAACAUAGUAGCUAGAGUAAUGAUG
Molecule: long non-coding RNA, 1104 nt
Organism: Prunus dulcis (almond)
Lineage: Eukaryota; Viridiplantae; Streptophyta; Magnoliopsida; Rosales; Rosaceae
Exons: 3
Source: RefSeq, a predicted model, not a curated record